GACAGAGGAUGCAAACGUUGCUCGGAAUUACUGGGCGUAAAGCGCGCGCAGGUGGUCCGGUAAGUCGGGUGUGAAAUCCCGGGGCUCAACCUCGGAAGUGCAUUCGAUACUGCCGAGCUUGAGUCCUGGAGAGGAAGGCGGAAUUCUCGGUGUAGAGGUGAAAUUCGUAGAUAUCGAGAGGAACACCGGUGGCGAAGGCGGCCUUCUGGACAGUGACUGACGCUGAGACGCGAAAGCGUGGGGAGCAAACAGG
Molecule: ribosomal RNA, 253 nt
Filed under: uncultured bacterium
Lineage: Bacteria
Description: partial 16S ribosomal RNA
Rfam family: Bacterial small subunit ribosomal RNA
Source: RNAcentral